GACGAACGCUGGCGGCGUGCCUAAUACAUGCAAGUUGAGCGCUGAAGGUUGGUACUUGUACCGACUGGAUGAGCAGCGAACGGGUGAGUAACGCGUGGGGAAUCUGCCUUUGAGCGGGGGACAACAUUUGGAAACGAAUGCUAAUACCGCAUAAAAACUUUAAACACAAGUUUUAAGUUUGAAAGAUGCAAUUGCAUCACUCAAAGAUGAUCCCGCGUUGUAUUAGCUAGUUGGUGAGGUAAAGGCUCACCAAGGCGAUGAUACAUAGCCGACCUGAGAGGGUGCUCGGCCACAUUGGGACUGAGACACGGCCCAAACUCCUACGGGAGGCAGCAGUAGCGAAUCUUCGGCAAUGGACGAAAGUCUGACCGAGCAACGCCGCGUGAGUGAAGAAGGUUUUCGGAUCGUAAAACUCUGUUGGUAGAGAAGAACGUUGGUGAGAGUGGAAAGCUCAUCAAGUGACGGUAACUACACAGAAAGGGACGGCUAACUACGUG
RNAcentral lists this ribosomal RNA (497 nucleotides) under uncultured bacterium. RNAcentral's name for it is "partial 16S ribosomal RNA". It matches the Rfam family "Bacterial small subunit ribosomal RNA", at positions 28 to 507 of the family's 1533-position model. The record is from RNAcentral.